Rhagoletis pomonella (apple maggot) is the source of this 202-nucleotide long non-coding RNA. RefSeq lists it as uncharacterized. The transcript is spliced from 2 exons. The record is from RefSeq and is a predicted model, not a curated record. Lineage: Eukaryota; Metazoa; Arthropoda; Insecta; Diptera; Tephritidae.
AUUUCUCAGAAAUUUGACAACAAAACAAAACAAAGCGAGAUAUGUUGAGCCAACAAAGAAGACGCAGUUGGAAAAUGGAGUAAUUAGUAAUGAAGUAGCAGGCAUAUUUUGAAAAUUAUGCCGAUAAGCAGGAUGGAAUUUGGAAAAGUAAGUGCCUGGUUACAGCAUAUCUAUGUAUUAAAAAGUAUUUAAUUAAAUUGUU